UACGUAGGGUGCAAGCGUUGUCCGGAAUUAUUGGGCGUAAAGAGCUCGUAGGCGGUUUGUUGCGUCGGCUGUGAAAUCCCGAGGCUCAACCUCGGGUCUGCAGUCGAUAAGAGCAAACUAGAGUGUUGCAGGGGAGACUGGAAUUCCUGGUGUAGCGGUGAAAUGCGCAGAUAUCAGGAGGAACACCGGUGGCGAAGGCGGGUCUCUGGGCCGUAACUGACGCUGAGGAGCGAAAGCGUGGGGAGCGAACAGG
This 253-nucleotide ribosomal RNA is filed under the name uncultured bacterium. Its description in RNAcentral is "partial 16S ribosomal RNA". It matches the Rfam family "Bacterial small subunit ribosomal RNA", at positions 524 to 776 of the family's 1533-position model. The record is from RNAcentral.